This 512-nucleotide ribosomal RNA is filed under the name uncultured bacterium. RNAcentral describes it as "partial 16S ribosomal RNA". It matches the Rfam family "Bacterial small subunit ribosomal RNA", at positions 28 to 507 of the family's 1533-position model. The record is from RNAcentral.
GAUGAACGCUGGCGGCGUGCCUAAUACAUGCAAGUCGAACGAAACUUCUUUAUCACCGAGUGCUUGCACUCACCGAUAAAGAGUUGAGUGGCGAACGGGUGAGUAACACGUGGGCAACCUGCCCAAAAGAGGGGGAUAACACUUGGAAACAUGUGCUAAUACCGCAUAACCAUAGUUACCGCAUGGUAACUAUGUUAAAGGUUGCUGUACUACCGCUUUUGGAUGAGCCCGCGGCGCAUUAGCUAGUUGGUAGGGUAAAGGCUUACCAAGGCAAUGAUGCGUAGCCGAAUUGAGAGGUUGAUCGGCCACAUUGGGACUGAGACACGGCCCAAACUCCUACGGGAGGCAGCAGUAGGGAAUCUUCCACAAUGGGCGAAAGCCUGAUGGAGCAACGCCGCGUGGGUGAAGAAGGUCUUCGGAUCGUAAAACCCUGUUGUUAGAGAAGAAAGUGCGUGAGAGUAACUGUUCACGUUUCGACGGUAUCUAACCAGAAAGCCACGGCUAACUACGUG